GAUGAACGCUAGCUACAGGCUUAACACAUGCAAGUCGAGGGGUAACGAGAGGAAAGCUUGCUUUCCUUGUCGACGACCGGCGCACGGGUGAGUAACGCGUAUCCAACCUGCCCCCAACUAAGGAAUAACCUUGCGAAAGUAAGACUAAUACCUUAUAAUUUCCUCAGAUGUCAUCUGACGAGGAAUAAAGAUUUAUCGGUUGUGGAUGGGGAUGCGUCUGAUUAGCUUGUUGGCGGGGUAACGGCCCACCAAGGCAACGAUCAGUAGGGGUUUGGAGAGGAAGGUCCCCCACAUGGGAACCGGGACACGGUCCAAACUCCUACGGGAGGAAGCAGUGAGGAAUAUUGGUCAAGGGGCGGAAGCCUGAACCAGCCAAGUAGCGUGCAGGAUGACGGCCCUAUGGGUUGUAAACUGCUUUUAUACAGGAAUAAAGUUAGCCACGUGUGGUUAUUUGUAGGUACUGUAUGAAUAAGGACCGGCUAAUUCCGUGCCAGCAGCCGCCGUAA
RNAcentral lists this ribosomal RNA (506 nucleotides) under uncultured bacterium. RNAcentral's name for it is "partial 16S ribosomal RNA". It matches the Rfam family "Bacterial small subunit ribosomal RNA", at positions 28 to 523 of the family's 1533-position model. The record is from RNAcentral.